GACUAUGGUUAACUGCUCCUCAGAUAUCUGCAGUGUAAAUCCAGACAGCGAGCUAGACUAUCUGAGUUUUAUGUUUCACGACUAAAACAU
This is a long non-coding RNA of Sander lucioperca (pikeperch), 90 nucleotides long. RefSeq lists it as uncharacterized. The transcript is spliced from 3 exons. The record is from RefSeq and is a predicted model, not a curated record. Lineage: Eukaryota; Metazoa; Chordata; Actinopteri; Perciformes; Percidae.